CGGCAACAGCUCAAAUUUGAAAUCUGGCCCCUCGGGGUCCGGGUUGUAAUUUGUAGAGGAUGUUUUGGGUACCGCCCCGGUCUAAAUUUCUUGGAACAGGACGUCAUAGAGGGUGAGAAUCCCGUAUGUGACUGGUUACCUUCGCUCAUGUGAAGCUCUUUCGAC
This 165-nucleotide ribosomal RNA is filed under the name Helotiaceae sp. RNAcentral describes it as "partial large subunit ribosomal RNA". It matches the Rfam family "Eukaryotic large subunit ribosomal RNA", at positions 99 to 261 of the family's 3401-position model. Lineage: Eukaryota; Fungi; Ascomycota; Leotiomycetes; Helotiales; Helotiaceae. The record is from RNAcentral.